GAUGAACGCUGGCGGCGUGCCUAAUACAUGCAAGUCGAGCGAACGGACGAGAAGCUUGCUUCUCUGAUGUUAGCGGCGGACGGGUGAGUAACACGUGGAUAACCUACCUAUAAGACUGGGAUAACUUCGGGAAACCGGAGCUAAUACCGGAUAAUAUUUUGAACCGCAUGGUUCAAAAGUGAAAGACGGUCUUGCUGUCACUUAUAGAUGGAUCCGCGCUGCAUUAGCUAGUUGGUAAGGUAACGGCUUACCAAGGCAACGAUGCAUAGCCGACCUGAGAGGGUGAUCGGCCACACUGGAACUGAGACACGGUCCAGACUCCUACGGGAGGCAGCAGUAGGGAAUCUUCCGCAAUGGGCGAAAGCCUGACGGAGCAACGCCGCGUGAGUGAUGAAGGUCUUCGGAUCGUAAAACUCUGUUAUUAGGGAAGAACAUAUGUGUAAGUAACUGUGCACAUCUUGACGGUACCUAAUCAGAAAGCCCGGCUAACUACGUGGCAGCAGCCCGCGGUAUACGUAGGUGGCAGCGUUAUCCGGAAUAUUGGGUGUAAGCGCGCGUAGGCGGUUUUUUAGUCUGAUGUGAAAGCCCACGGCUCAACCGUGGAGGGUCAUUGGAAACUGGAAAACUUGAGUGCAGAAGAGGAAAGUGGAAUUCCAUGUGUAGCGGUGAAAUGCGCAGAGAUAUGGAGGAACACCAGUGGCGAAGGCGACUUUCUGGUCUGUAACUGACGCUGAUGUGCGAAAGCGUGGGGAUCAAACAGGAUUAGAUACCCUGGUAGUCCACGCCGUAAACGAUGAGUGCUAAGUGUUAGGGGGUUUCCGCCCCUUAGUGCUGCAGCUAACGCAUUAAGCACUCCGCCUGGGGAGUACGACCGCAAGGUUGAAACUCAAAGGAAUUGACGGGGACCCGCACAAGCGGUGGAGCAUGUGGUUUAAUUCGAAGCAACGCGAAGAACCUUACCAAAUCUUGACAUCCUUUGACAACUCUAGAGAUAGAGCUUUCCCCUUCGGGGGACAAAGUGACAGGUGGUGCAUGGUUGUCGUCAGCUCGUGUCGUGAGAUGUUGGGUUAAGUCCCGCAACGAGCGCAACCCUUAAGCUUAGUUGCCAUCAUUAAGUUGGGCACUCUAAGUUGACUGCCGGUGACAAACCGGAGGAAGGUGGGGAUGACGUCAAAUCAUCAUGCCCCUUAUGAUUUGGGCUACACACGUGCUACAAUGGACAAUACAAAGGGCAGCGAAACCGUGAGGUCAAGCAAAUCCCAUAAAGUUGUUCUCAGUUCGGAUUGUAGUCUGCAACUCGACUACAUGAAGCUGGAAUCGCUUGUAAUCGUAGAUCAGCAUGCUACGGUGAAUACGUUCCCGGGUCU
Molecule: ribosomal RNA, 1367 nt
Filed under: uncultured bacterium
Lineage: Bacteria
Description: bacterial SSU rRNA
Rfam family: Bacterial small subunit ribosomal RNA
Source: RNAcentral